Long non-coding RNA from Gossypium raimondii (Peruvian cotton), 1892 nucleotides. RefSeq lists it as uncharacterized. The record is from RefSeq and is a predicted model, not a curated record. Lineage: Eukaryota; Viridiplantae; Streptophyta; Magnoliopsida; Malvales; Malvaceae. The transcript has 3 exons.
ACAUUACAACAUUACAUUAUUGCACUGUCCCCUGCAUCUUGUGGUCAAUUUAACUUUUACUUGUUUUAUAAGAAAGACUCAUUUAGCAACUCAAUAACUAAUCUUCGUGGCUGAUCAUAACAGCCAAUUUCUUCUCAAGUCACUCCCUAAUUUGUGUAUAUCUAAUAUACUUGGAACAAGAGAUGAGCUUGGUAGUUUUUGUUGGUUUAUAAGGACAAGGAAAUAAUAAUAGUAUGCUUUUUCUUAGAGAAAUAAUAAUUUGGAUUUUCAUAACAUGUUAGUAUAAAUUACAAAAAGAAAAGAAGAUUACAUUAUGAGACAAAUGUACUAAGAUUAUGGCACAUGGAACAUAUAUAUAUCUAUGCUGGUGGGAACAUCCUAUCCUAGUCCCUUGUGCAUUUAUGCUAAUGCUAGCAGUAAUGUAAGAGUUUUUCGAGGGAAAUUAAACUCUUGGGUAAACUUGAGAUUUGAGUGCAAUAAAUAAAAACAAAUAUUUUAUCAAUUUUUUAGGCAAAGAUAGAAAAGAAAGUUUGCAUGCUGUCGAGGAAUUUAACUGACCAAAAGAUAGAAUUUUUAGUGAAAUUUCUAGCUGUCAAGGGAGCUGCUGAAGCAUGCAGUUUGCAUGCAUGCUGUCUAAUUUCUUACCAAUUUAGGUGGUCUGAUCGAUGGUUGUUUAUUGUUGUCCAAAUAAAAAUUAAAGAUCAACCAAAUGAUGAGGGAAUUAAAAUGGUCUGAACAAUGUGAAACUAAAUUGUUAAAUAUUAACUAAUGAUGUCCAAAUGGAUAUGAUUUAUGAUGUUAGUAAGCUAAAAAUUUAGGUGUUAAAUGCUGCAAUUUAUGGUGUUUGAAAGUUGUGAUUUAUGAUAUUCGAAUGAUGUAUUUUAAGUUGUUCGAAUGUGUUAAAGAGUUGAUUUAAUUUAAUGCCUAAUGGUUGUUUACUGUUGUUCAAAGCAUGAUGAAAUAAACAUGUUAGGCGUAGUUUAAUAUAUGCCUUGUUGAGCCAUAAGGUUGUCCAAAACAAGACAAAAUUUAGUUGUCUUUAAGAUGUUCGAAUGUGGUUGUUCGAAUGGUUCUCCAAAUUUUCCAAAUGUGUCUUUAAGGUGCUCGAAAAUGUCAUAUUAAUGUUGUCCAUGUAUGAUUUAAUGUUUUAUCAUUUGGAGCUUUAAUAUUUUAACACAAGUGAUGUUAAUUUCUUGUCUUGAUAACAUCUUUAUUAUUUACUGAUGCAGGUGGACAGACAAGUAUCAGGUUAAGUACAUAUUUUAUUCAUCCAAGAAAGGCAAAAUGUUGGUACAAAUUACACUAAUGUCCUACUAGACAGCUACAAACAACGGAACAUAGUUCACUUGAAGCUUGCCAUGUAAGACCAUGUCACACAUAAAAUGCAAAAUGAGCUCAACAUGUUUGACACGUGCAUGUAAGACCGGGUUUGCAGCCAAGGCUACAGAGCUGGAAUUAUCACACCACACCACUGGAGCCUGUUGUAAAAAGAUUCCUAUCUCACUGAGAAGAGACUGAAACUAAAUUAUCUCUAUAGUAGUAUUUGCAAGGCUUUUGUAUUCAGCCUCAGAUGUGGACCUAGACACAACCCCUUAUUUCGUAGACGACCAUCCAAUCAAGUUGUCACCAAGAUAGAUGCAAAAACCAGAUGUUGACUUGUGGUCUUCAAGUGAGCUUGCCCAAUCCGCAUUAGGGAACCCUGUCAGACGGACUGCCGAGGGUUGAAAAACUAGACCAUGAUCUAACGUACCUUAAGAUUCUUUUUACUACAGUCCAAUGCACAUCAUAUGGCAAGUGCAUAUACUGUGAGACUUUAUUCACUGCAAAUGUAAUGUUAGGUUGAGUUAAACAGAUGUAUUGAAGGCCCCCUACAAUCUGCCUAUAUUUGGUCC